AAACUUUCAGCGACGGAUGU
RNAcentral lists this ribosomal RNA (20 nucleotides) under Ectocarpus crouaniorum. Its description in RNAcentral is "partial 5.8S ribosomal RNA". Lineage: Eukaryota; Phaeophyceae; Ectocarpales; Ectocarpaceae. The record is from RNAcentral.